Molecule: long non-coding RNA, 695 nt
Filed under: Homo sapiens (human)
Lineage: Eukaryota; Metazoa; Chordata; Mammalia; Primates; Hominidae
Description: non-protein coding lnc-GOLGA7B-2:1
Source: RNAcentral
GUUGUCCACCUCUGGUGAAUGGCGCUGCGGGGGUUCUGGGCACCAUGGAGUCCUCCUCUCAGCUGUGAUGUUGUCAGCGCCACAACCUUCGAUGGGAGCAUUGGGGAUUUCUGGCUGGGCAAACUGAGCCACUAUGGACUAAAGUUGCUGGGAAACCUGGGAUGAGUCACUUCCCUUCUCUGGGAACCCUCAUUGGUAAAAUGAAAAGGUUGAACUAGGAAAUCCCACUGGGCCUGGAAGAAAUGUCAGUGUGGGAAGAUCUCUCUCAAGGCAUCACCAUAAAUCUUUUCCUGUUUUCCUCUUGAAAGACAAGAUUUGGAAAAGUCAGGUAACAUCUAGAGAAAGCCUCUAAUAGCCCUCUCCCUCUCCCUCUCCCUCUCCCUCUCCCUCGCCCUCUCCCCUUUCCACGGUCUCCCCUCUCCCUCUCUUUCCACGGUCUCCCUCUCACGCCGAGCCGAAGCUGGACUGUACUGCCGCCAUCUCGGCUCACUGCAGCCUCCCUGCCUGAUUCUCCUGCCUCAGCCUGCCGAGUGCCUGCGAUUGCAGGCGCGCGCCGCCACGCCUGACUGGUUUUCGUAUUUUUUUGGUGGAGACGGGGUUUCGCUGUGUUGGCCGGGCUGGUCUCCAGCUCCUAACCACGAGUGAUCCGCCAGCCUCGGCCUCCUGAGGUGCCGGGAUUGCAGACAGAGUCUCGU